RNAcentral lists this ribosomal RNA (468 nucleotides) under uncultured bacterium. Its description in RNAcentral is "partial 16S ribosomal RNA". It matches the Rfam family "Bacterial small subunit ribosomal RNA", at positions 28 to 507 of the family's 1533-position model. The record is from RNAcentral.
GACGAACGCUGGCGGCGUGCUUAACACAUGCAAGUCGAACGGAAAGGCCCUGCUUUUGUGGGGUGCUCGAGUGGCGAACGGGUGAGUAACACGUGAGUAACCUUCCCUUGACUUUGGGAUAACUUCAGGAAACUGGGGCUAAUACCGGAUAGGAGCUCCUGCUGCAUGGUGGGGGUUGGAAAGUUUCGGCGGUUGGGGAUGGACUCGCGGCUUAUCGGCUUGUUGGUGGGGUAGUGGCUUACCAAGGCUUUGACGCGUAGCCGGCCUGAGAGGGUGACCGGCCACAUUGGGACUGAGAUACGGCCCAGACUCCUACGGGAGGCAGCAGUGGGGAAGAUUGCACAAUGGGCGGAAGCCUGAUGCAGCAACGCCGCGUGGGGGAUGACGGCCUUCGGGUUGUAAACCGCUUUCGCCUGUGACGAAGCGUGAGUGACGGUAAUGGGUAAAGAAGCACCGGCUAACUACGUG